Long non-coding RNA from Salvia hispanica, 538 nucleotides. RefSeq lists it as uncharacterized. NCBI's taxonomy places the organism in Eukaryota, Viridiplantae, Streptophyta, Magnoliopsida, Lamiales, Lamiaceae. The record is from RefSeq and is a predicted model, not a curated record.
AGAUCCAGGCUCGUCGUCUGAGACAACAGUGAGCAAAAGGCAGAUUUUUAGUGUUGCUAAUCCAAUCAUUGAUGAUGGCAGCUUCUGUCCAAAUUACCCACGAAAAAGGAAGGAAGAGCCUGAAAUGUAGUAUGUGAUUAUGAGUGGAGAGAUUGUUGUAGAAGGAAGUGAGUGGGAAAAGGAGAGAUAGCAAGAAUUCAAGAUUCAAGCAUAUUGAGCAGCCAGGCAGGGGAAUACAUAAAGCGACCGAUUUUUGGGGCGAUGGCUCGGAGGCGGUGAAGGGAUCAGAGAAAAGGAUUGGGAAUGAAGAAGCUCUGAAUCAGCACAUGAGUUUGUGUAAAAAAUUUAAGAAUCUAAAAAGUCCAACUCAAACUCAUCAUCAGCUCAUCUCUGCUCUUCAAGAUUUUUGAGGGAUAGAAUAUAGUAUAUAAAUUGUUUUCUUCAACUGAUAUGUUAGUUGCUUGUAGUCUGUUCCAUUUGUUACAAGAUGGUACUAGUAUUUCAACUUUCUGGUUCAAGAUAAAAAAAAUCAGCACAA